AGACCAGUUUCCGGUGAGCAUGGUGACAGGGUUGCUGUACGAAGUGGCCCUGAGGGGCUUGGCCACCAUUUCUGAGGGUGGGUCAGGCCUCCGGCCCACAGCGAUCCUCUGCCUUCCUGCGUAGUCAUGCCUGUCACUCAAGGAAAAACGUCCGGAUGACACGUGACACAGCACUGAGUGAUUCGGGGUGAGCCCUGGGGAAGGAAAAAAUGGGGAAGGUGGUUUGGGGAUUUUCACUCUUCUCCCUACAUCUGUCUUAGCCUAAGUUUUCUUAUCUGUGAAAGAGUUCUGAGAUUUUUCGUCGCCAGAUGUCUUUAUAAAGAGUAAAUGAGAUCACAUACAGGCUGGCCUUGGAGAUAUUGUGGGUUGGGUUCUAGACCACCUCAAUAAAGUGAAUACGGCAAUACAGUGAGUCACAUAAAAUUUUUGGUUUCCCAGUGCAUAUAAAUUUAUGUUUAUACUAUACUGUAGUCUAUUAAGUAUGCAAUAACAAGAUGUCACUCCAAUGUCUCCAGACAUUGUCAAAUGUCCACAAAGGGUCUGUGUCCAGCAAGACCGUGGAAGUCAGACCUAGGACAGGAAGUAAGGAGUGCAGUGUUGUUAAAUAUCUAUACCUGAUAUGGAUAUUUAAGUCUAUCAACUACUGUAUUUAUAUUCUCAACUCUAACAUUUAAUGUUUUCACUAUUGUUGUUUCCCUGAAAUUCUAUAAUUCACUUUGUAUUUCCCUCUGACUCAAAAGUUGGUUAAUAAGGAAUCAUACGAUUUCUAGGUCAAGGCCUUUUUGGUUUUGUGACUUUCUUAUCAAUUUCUAGUUUCAUUGCAUUGUGAUUAGAAAAUGUUUUCUGCAUUAUCUCUCCUCUUUAGAACUAAUUGAAGUUAUUUGUGUGGUUUAUUAGUUAAUUUUGGAAGUGUCCCAUGGUCACUUGGAAAGACAAUAUAGUCUAUAUUUUUAGGAUUUAAAGUUUAGUAGAUAUCCCUCAGGUAUACUAAAUUGAUCAUGUCAUUUUGGUCUUUUAUAUCAUUACUUUCUUUUGUACAUUUGCUCCAACCUGGGCUGAGAGAAUUUGCAUUUUCUAUAAGUGACCACUGGUACCAGCCAAGGUGGAAUACGUGCACUUCCGUCUACCGUCCCACUGGGAACGCUGAAAACUCUGGGAGGAACAUAAAGAACAACUCCCUGAGCCCUCUAAAAAGCCAGCUCCAGCUGUGGAGCUGCACCACUAUGCUGCUGGUCCUGGUGCUGGAAGCCCUGAAACUUUGAUGAAAGACCCAACUCUCCAACCAGAGGAACUGGAAAUGGAGUGGGGUGAAUCCCUGUUUAUUUCUUCCUCUUUACUGUUGCCACUUGGCUCCAAAGAUGGCCCCAGUCAUGUGGAACUAUACAAUAGCACAAAGAAUUAAAAAGCUAAGAAAAACCUGAUUUUCUGGACAGAAGAAAACUG
RNAcentral lists this long non-coding RNA (1443 nucleotides) under Homo sapiens (human). RNAcentral's name for it is "HSALNT0344301". Lineage: Eukaryota; Metazoa; Chordata; Mammalia; Primates; Hominidae. The record is from RNAcentral.